This 386-nucleotide ribosomal RNA is filed under the name uncultured microorganism. Its description in RNAcentral is "bacterial SSU rRNA". It matches the Rfam family "Archaeal small subunit ribosomal RNA", at positions 330 to 718 of the family's 1478-position model. The record is from RNAcentral.
GUGCAGCAGGCGCGAAACCUUUACAAUGCCUUCACGGGCGAUAAGGGGAUCCUGAGUGCUCUAGCAUUGCUAGAGCUUUUCCAGAGUGUAAAAAGCUCUGGGAAUAAGUGGUGGGUAAGACGGGUGCCAGCCGCCGCGGUAAUACCCGCGCCACAAGUGGUGACCACGUUUAUUGGGUCUAAAGCGUCCGUAGCCGGCUGGGUAAGUUCCUUGGGAAAUUUGGCUGCUUAACAGUCAAGCUUUCAGGGAAUACUGCCCGGCUUGGGACCGGGAGAGGUCAGAGGUACUCCAGGGGUAGGGUGAAAUCCAUUAAUCCUUGGGGGACCACCGGUAGCGAAGGCGUCUGACCAGACCGGGUCCGACGGUGAGGGACGAAGGCUAGGGGC